Molecule: long non-coding RNA, 3399 nt
Organism: Trachemys scripta elegans
Lineage: Eukaryota; Metazoa; Chordata; Testudines; Emydidae
Exons: 7
Source: RefSeq, a predicted model, not a curated record
UUCGGAGAUCCUAGCCUCCCUAUUUCCCCGGACAUGUCCGCCUUUUUGGCAAUUCCCCCCCGACGGGGAUUUGGGGACCCAAAAGCCAGACAUGUCCGGGGAAAUCCGGACGUAUGGUAACCCUAUAUUAUGGAGAGACAAUAGCCUCAUCAUUAAGCAUCCUUUGGAAGAAUUUUGUUAGUUGCCACAAUCAAGAGAACACAUGAAAUGUCUACAAUCCAUGAAUUGGAGGAUCAGGAGUCAUUUCUGGAGCAUUUCAAAGAAGGAAAAUAUUUCACAUCCAGUUGAUCAGCCAUUGGCUGCAGGUUGGACUACUGUAACAUUCUACUCAGAGCCAACCUUGAAGAGUAUUCUGAACCUUCUCCUAGUUCAAAAUGUGACCUGCCCCUUAAGUCUACCGGGCUAUUACAAACCAGUCAGCAUCCAGGAGAGACUCCUGUGAUGGUGAUCCAUACUGGAACCAAUUACACCAACUCAGGCACAAUUCUACAGAUCCUGGAAGACUUCAGGAAUCUGGGAAUGGAGCCGCAAGAUCUUCUUGGUAAUCCUUCCUGUCCCUCAGGCAAGAUAAGAGAGAAGGCAAAAGUUACUGAUGGUGAACAGUCAGUUAGGCAUCUCUUUGGGGUGGAGAGGCUCUCUCUUGAGCCAGCUGAAGACAAAAUGGAGGAGGUUCCCAGGGCCUUAUAUAUCUUUCCCUUGUGGGCGGAAACCCCUCUCUUCUCCUGUGUAGAAUCACAGCUACAAGAUGGAAUUUUGGAGUCACAUGGUUUGGAGAUACGGCAAAGACUGACACAGAGAGAGACUGGAAGAGACAGGUGAUGAAAGAUGAGAAUGAAAGUGACUAUUGUAACUCAGUCUUUGAAUUAACAACAGAUGAAAAGGAAACUGAACUAAUUCAAGGCUAAAACAUACCGGCGAUGUUUAUCGGUGUGAGGAAAAAGAUAAAGUAGGAGACAAUUACAGCUGAGCAUUGAUUCUGAAAGCUGGACUGUGGAUUCAUUUUGGAAAACAGAACGAUAAUGAAAGACACAGGAAACUUCAGCUUUUCAUUCCAAUUUGGGAUUAAAGGACAUUUCAAAAUGUCGGAAUUUCCCACAGCAUGGAAAUCUGGAGUUUGGACUAGCUCCUGGAGUAGAGAACCUGGCAUGCUGUACCUGGUUUAGCUUGUGUGGACAUAGUUUGGAUGUCACAACCUGUUUACCCCCUUGGUGACAAACACCAUGCAAAGAAUAUAUCUAACUCUUUCUGCAUGCAUUUUAUAAAUACACUCAGAGGGCCAGAACUUCUCAUGACACGGAGCUACAGUAAUCCUCACCUAGCAUAAAGCUCAAAGGAUGGAGGUCAGUGAAAGGUCAUGGAGGUCAAUGGAGCUGUACUGAUUGGACAGCUCAGGAUCUGGACCCGAAUGUGUGCAAUUAUGUCUGAAGAAUGAAUAGCCAAGCCAGUAUGACUAGCUGUGAAGAAUACAAUGUGGCUCUCAUAAACAGGUGUCGUAUUAUUGUUGUAAUUUUGCAUGCAUGCACUGUUGUUGGCAUUGAUUUGGUGCUUGCGUAGUAUUUUGCAUGUAUUCUUAUUAACUAUGGCUAUUGUGAACACAUUGUUUUCCAGUAGCACGCUGGGAACCUACUCACAGACCAAGGCCCCCCCUGUGCUAGGUGCUGUACAAAUGCAGAACCAAAGCACAGCUUCCCUCAGGAGCUUUUAUUACUUUCUGCAGCUAUAGGGCUGGGGCCUCAGCUGGUGUAAAUCCGCACAGCUGCAUUGAGUCACUGGAGCUAUGGCGAAUUACACAAGUUGAGAAUUUGGCCUCUGGUCUCAUUUUUCCAGUGGAAAGGUGGAGCAGUAAGUUUGUAGUCCCAAAAGGUGCCUGAGUACAGUCUGUUCUCUUCCUGAACUACAGCUCCCCCGUUUGUAGUAUCCCUCUGCCAUCUGCAGUGUCUGCUGUGGGGGAAGGCAGCAGGGAAGUUCUUCACCCUGGGGCUGCAGUCUCAUAGUGUGCUGCUCAGUACAGGAGAUGGGAGACGUUCAUUUUCACUGUCAGAGGGAAAUGUUUAAUUCAUCCCUCCUGUGCCCUGCAGGGACAUCAGCAUCGCAUCAUUACGGCGGCCGCCAGCCUCUGCCAGGUAAUCCACCUGCAGCUCCUGAGGGCAUUCUCUCUCUCUCUCUGGCAAACUGCAUCAUAGACUGCUCACAUUUAAAAGUUUCAGCAAAUAGGGUGUAUUGGCCGUGCCUAGUACAUGCCGACUCCAUUUUCCCUCUGCACUUUUCUAGGAUCCUUUCUUUGCCAGCAUGUUUUCAUUUCCAUUUUUAAGCCAGGUUUCAUGCCAAGGUAAUGUUAGUUUGAUGACCUUAUGGAUUCCAUCCACUCUUAGAGGUUCUUGCACUGUCACAAUGUGCUACCCACGUGUCUCAACCCUGAUGCUGAGGAAGCGGGCCGUGGAGGGAGAGGGGAACAUAGGCGCAGCCUGCCCCUCAGUGCCACUUUCAAACAACCGUCCAACACUGGAGUCAUCAUCAGGUAAGAGCCUCAGAAUUGCCAGACCCCACAUCCAUCUUGUCCAGCAUCCUGUCUCUGACUGAGGCCAUCACCAGAUACUUCAGAGGAUACACCCCACACUAGCCUAGGAAGGAUUAAUGAGACUGUAAAGGGGCAAUUAAGUGGAUAGGCCACCGCUGAGGAGAAUUAAGAGGCCUAAGUAACCCUGACUGAUGGAGCCCAGCUGAGAUGGAACAGGUGGGGCUAGUAUAAAGCAAGGAAGUUGGCAGCAGAAAACAGCAGCAGUGAGGGAGCCUUCAGCCACAGUCUGGAUAUUAAAAGAGGGAAGAAAAACCCAGGGGGAGGGUACAAGCCCCAGGCAGGGGUGAUGCAAGCUCCAUAAAAGUGGGGAGACCACCAGGGCCCAAACUGUGGCCCCAUCCCCUUGCACCAGCUUUUCCCCCAGUGCUCUGCCCCCAUACCACCCAUUCCCCCUGAGCCCCUGCCCUCGCAUCGCCUCUUCCCUCCAACAAGACCCCGCCCCACUUGCUCCUCUCCACUCCCUCUCCCCUGUUGCUCACCCUUACAGCCAGUAAAAAGUGAUGGGGCCAUGGCCCACUCCCCCGCCCCCCCCGCUUCUGGUGCCCCCGACCCUGAAGGAAGGGUUAAUCCAGAAGGGAGGAGGAGUGAAAGCCUGAGAGAGGCAGAGUAAGAAAAGGCUCAGGGGAAAACUAGUAAGGUGGGAUAUUGCAGACCCUGGCCACUGAUUAGAGGGUCCCUGAAUGCAGGGCCGGCUCCAGGCACCAGCCGAGCAAGCUCGUGCUUGGGGCGGCAGAUUCUACGGGGCGGCAUUCCGCCCAAUCCUAGGGCAGCACGGCCGCUUUUUGUUUUUGUUUUGUUUGCCAAUCCUAUAGGGGGCGGCA